This 420-nucleotide long non-coding RNA is filed under the name Phasianus colchicus (ring-necked pheasant). RNAcentral describes it as "lncRNA (ENSPCLG00000014264.1)". The record is from RNAcentral. Lineage: Eukaryota; Metazoa; Chordata; Aves; Galliformes; Phasianidae.
AUGUCUGGAAAGACAGGGAUGUGUCCCCAGUUUCACUUAGGAGGCUGUCCCGGGAGGUACCAAUAUGGGAGAGGCACAGAGAACCAAACAAGAGCAAUAAGACAGCAGAAAGCUUCACACAAACCAGCACCAGCGCCUGCAAAACACACCACUGUGGAUGGAAAGCAUCAUGACAUAGGCAGCUUGCAAACAAGCUUAGGCAGCGAGGUGUACAGCAGGUGUAGUGCACUGAUGCUGAUGCACAUCUGUGACAGUGAUAUUCCUCAGUGUUGCUCUGGUGGCAAAGGGGACAUUUCUGCUUCUCCAUGCUUCUGGGAGCUUCCAUUGAGCCAAACUGCCUUUGCUGGCCAGGCUGGCAGAGAGGUGAAGUCUUGUCUUGGGGGACGAAAUGAGGCAUGGAUGGUGUUGGCAGCUUUGUAA